GUGCCAGCCGCCGCGGUAAUACAGAGGGGGCAAGCGUUAUUCGGAAUUAUUGGGCGUAAAGGGCGCGUAGGCGGCUUGGCAAGUGACGGGUGAAAUCCCUCGGCUUAACCGAGGAACUGCCUGUCAGACUGCUUUGCUUGAGGCCGGGAGAGGCGAGUGGAAUUCCCAGUGUAGCGGUGAAAUGCGUAGAUAUUGGGAGGAACACCAGUGGCGAAGGCGACUCGCUGGACCGGAUCUGACGCUGAGGCGCGAAAGCGUGGGGAGCAAACAGGAUUAGAAACCCGCGUAGUCC
This 292-nucleotide ribosomal RNA is filed under the name uncultured bacterium. RNAcentral's name for it is "partial 16S ribosomal RNA". It matches the Rfam family "Bacterial small subunit ribosomal RNA", at positions 505 to 796 of the family's 1533-position model. The record is from RNAcentral.